RNAcentral lists this ribosomal RNA (1175 nucleotides) under uncultured fungus. RNAcentral describes it as "eukaryotic LSU rRNA". The stretch from base 542 to 1175 matches the Rfam family "Eukaryotic large subunit ribosomal RNA", at positions 1 to 649 of the family's 3401-position model. The record is from RNAcentral. Lineage: Eukaryota; Fungi.
AGUCGUAACAAGGUUUCCGUAGGUGAACCUGCGGAAGGAUCAUUACAGAGAGGGGCUUCGCGCUCCAGGGGGCUUCGGCCCCCGACUCUACACCCUGUGACUACAUACCUUUCAUGUUGCUUUGGCGGGCCUUGGGGUCAAGCCCAUGCCGGUCCGCCGGUCAGUGCCCGCCGAGAGCCCAUCAAAACUCGUUUAAUUUAGUGAAGUCUGAGUGGAGUAUCAAAUAAUCAAAACUUUCAACAACGGAUCUCUUGGUUCUGGCAUCGAUGAAGAACGCAGCGAAAUGCGAUAAGUAAUGUGAAUUGCAGAAUUCAGUGAAUCAUCGAAUCUUUGAACGCACAUUGCGCCCCUCGGUAUUCCGGGGGGCAUGCCUGUUCGAGCGUCAUUACAACCCUCAAGCGUAGCUUGGUAUUGGGCGUUCGCCCCCUGGGCGGGCCCGAAAACCAUUGGCGGUCCGGCGUGACUUUAAGCGUAGUAAUUUCUCUCCCGCUUUGAAUGCUCGCGCCGUGCCGGCCAGACAACCCUUAUGUACAUCAAUAAUUGACCUCGGAUCAGGUAGGGAUACCCGCUGAACUUAAGCAUAUCAAUAAGCGGAGGAAAAGAAACCAACAGGGAUUGCCUCAGUAACGGCGAGUGAAGCGGCAACAGCUCAAAUUUGAAAUCUGGCUCCUUCGGGGUCCGAGUUGUAAUUUGUAGAAGAUGCUUCGGGGGCGGUGCCGGUUUAAGUCCCUUGGAACAGGGUGUCAUAGAGGGUGAGAACCCCGUAUGUGACCGGUGGCCAACCCCAUGUGAAGCUCUUUCGACGAGUCGAGUUGUUUGGGAAUGCAGCUCAAAACGGGUGGUAAAUUUCAUCUAAAGCUAAAUACCGGCCAGAGACCGAUAGCGCACAAGUAGAGUGAUCGAAAGAUGAAAAGCACUUUGGAAAGAGAGUUAAACAGUACGUGAAAUUGUUGAAAGGGAAGCGCUCGCCACCAGACCUGCCCUCGGACGAUCAGCGGUAGUUCUUCUGCCGUGCACUCGUUCGUGAUCAGGCCAGCAUCGGUUUCGGCGGCCGGAUAAAGAUCCUUGGAAUGUGGCUCCCCUCGGGGAGUGUUAUAGCCUCGGGUGCAAUACGGCCGGCUGGGACCGAGGACCGCGCUUCGGCUAGGAUGCUGGCGUAAUGGUGGUGAGCGACC